GGAAUCAGGCCGCCACCUCAGCUCCCAUUUUAAGUCCCUUGCUCCCUCUUCGGAACCUCUUCAUUUUGCAUCUUCCUGUGGGUUGAAGGCAGGAGGCAGGGCCAGGCAUCGGGCCUCUCCCAUAUGGAGGGUGGGGCAGACCCCUGACCCUCUCCUUGGCUGUGGUGCUGUGGGGGUGGGGGUGGCCCUGAUGAGUUGGGAAACUCCCUGAAUCGCACUUGUGGGCUCAGUCCUCCGCCGUCUGUGGGCGGCCCCAGAAGAGCGAGGCCCCACAUUCAAUGCCUCCUGCCAAGUGAGGCUGUGCUGAAGACGCUCCCUGAGAAGAAAGAUGGGCCAGGGUGCAGCCAUGUUUCUUCCCAGAGGAAACCUUUGCCCCUGCCUCGUCUCCUUGAGAGAAGAAACACCCCUGUCCUCCCGUUUUGGAGGUCUAGCCAGGGCCAUAGUGCUGCUUACCUGCUCAAGAUUCACCCAGCACAGAGGACUGUGUUAAGUGGUGCCCAGUGGUGAAAGGUGGUGGUCUUCAUGCUGGUGAGAGCUGGUUAAAACAGGGGUUUCUUUCUUCCAGAAGCAAGCAAUCAGCCACAAGGUGCUGAGAGCCCCUGAACCGAAUUACCCGCCGCUGCCUUUCUUCACCAGCAUCCCGGGUGGGCUGUACCCCUCCAAGAGCAUCAUCGUCUCGGGCACCGUCCUGCCCAGUGCUCAGAGGUUCCACAUCAACCUGCGCUCUGGGAGUGACAUCACCUUCCACCUGAACCCCCGUUUCGAUGAGAACACUGUGGUCCGCAACACACAGAUCAAUUGCUCUUGGGGGCCUGGGGAGCUAAGCCUGUCCCAAAAACUGCCCUUCACCCGGGGCUAGUGCUUCUCGGUGAGCUGCACUCAGAGGGGCUCCCAUGGGGCAGACAGAGCAGGGGGCGGGCGCGCUGGGGGCCCCUGGAACGAGAUGGGAGCUGAGCCUCUGGGUGAGGGCUGGGCCCAGAAGAAGAGAAAGUGCUCAACCCAUUGUUGUUAUUAUGUUACUAUUUCCUCCCACGUAUGGCAGGUAGGGGAUCUGCUGUUUACAGGUGAGGAAACAGACUCACAAUGCAGGUUACUCGCCUGAGGUCACACAGCCGAUCAGCGCCAGAUGGAACCCAAUAAUGAGGGUCCUUCCUCAUCCACUCACUCACUCCCUCACUCACUCACUCAUUCAAUCGACAGUCAUUUCUCAGCUGUUCUAUCAGGGCCCACUUUGUGCAGGAAGUGCCCUAGGAGCGGGGGGACAGCCACGAAGCAGACAGACGAGGUCCUGCCCCCUCAUAGUUGACGGUUCAGGUGGGAGAGGACAAGGACACAGGUGCUUGGACAGGUCCUUGCAGAUGACAGCAGGUUCUCUGCAGAAGGCAACACAGAGUAAGGGGACAGCAUGAACUCGG
This is a long non-coding RNA of Diceros bicornis minor, 1415 nucleotides long. RefSeq lists it as uncharacterized. The transcript is spliced from 3 exons. NCBI's taxonomy places the organism in Eukaryota, Metazoa, Chordata, Mammalia, Perissodactyla, Rhinocerotidae. The record is from RefSeq and is a predicted model, not a curated record.